UCAAACUUGGUCAUUUAGAGGAAGUAAAAGUCGUAACAAGGUUUCCGUAGGUAUGUAAUCGUGUCGCUCCCCUAAUUUUGCGGACUUGUGCUAACUUUUCUAGGUGAACCUGCGGAAGGAUCAUUACCGGGUCUGGGUUCUUCGUGAGCCCACCUUCCCACCCUGUGUCGACCGUACCGUGUUGCUUCGGCGGGCCCGUCGCGCCGCCGUGCGUGACCGCCGGGGGGUCUCUCGACCCUUUGGUCCGCGCCCGCCAGGAGCCCCGUCAAACUCAUGGUUCAACGUGACGUCUGAGGAAAUACUAUAAUGCAAAUGCAAAACUUUCAACAACGGAUCUCUUGGUUCUGGCAUCGAUGAAGAACGCAGC
Molecule: unclassified non-coding RNA, 367 nt
Filed under: uncultured fungus
Lineage: Eukaryota; Fungi
Description: partial contains small subunit ribosomal RNA, internal transcribed spacer 1, and 5.8S ribosomal RNA
Rfam family: Eukaryotic small subunit ribosomal RNA (bases 1-126)
Source: RNAcentral